This is a non-coding RNA of Schistocephalus solidus, 83 nucleotides long. The record is from Rfam. Lineage: Eukaryota; Metazoa; Platyhelminthes; Cestoda; Diphyllobothriidea; Diphyllobothriidae.
GGCCUCAUAGCUCAGUUGGCUAGAGCAUUGGCUGUACUUAAGCCUUCCCCUUGCUAGCGUGGGUUCGAAUCCCACCGCUGCCA